UAUGGCGGUGCGCUCGAUCGAUUCCCUGCUUCGAAUCGACUUUA
Molecule: unclassified non-coding RNA, 44 nt
Filed under: Sorangium cellulosum So ce56
Lineage: Bacteria; Pseudomonadati; Myxococcota; Polyangiales; Polyangiaceae
Description: sce_s2m_68
Source: RNAcentral